This 254-nucleotide ribosomal RNA is filed under the name uncultured bacterium. RNAcentral describes it as "partial 16S ribosomal RNA". It matches the Rfam family "Bacterial small subunit ribosomal RNA", at positions 524 to 776 of the family's 1533-position model. The record is from RNAcentral.
UACGUAGGUGGCGAAGCGUUGUCCGGAAUUAUUGGGCGUAAAGCGCGCGCAGGCGGUUCUUUAAGUCUGAUGUGAAAGCCCACGGCUCAACCGUGGAGGGUCAUUGGAAACUGGAGAACUUGAGUACAGAAGAGGAAAGCGGAAUUCCACGUGUAGCGGUGAAAUGCGUAGAGAUGUGGAGGAACACCAGUGGCGAAGGCGGCUUUCUGGUCUGUAACUGACGCUGAGGCGCGAAAGCGUGGGGAGCAAACAGG